Molecule: ribosomal RNA, 514 nt
Filed under: uncultured bacterium
Lineage: Bacteria
Description: partial 16S ribosomal RNA
Source: RNAcentral
GGAGUUAGCCGGUGCUUCUUCUGCGAGUAACGUCACAGAUGUAAGGUAUUAACUUACACCCUUUCCUCCUCGCUGAAAGUGCUUUACAACCCGAAGGCCUUCUUCACACACGCGGCAUGGCUGCAUCAGGGUUUCCCCCAUUGUGCAAUAUUCCCCACUGCUGCCUCCCGUAGGAGUCUGGGCCGUGUCUCAGUCCCAGUGUGGCUGAUCAUCCUCUCAGACCAGCUAGGGAUCGUCGCCUAGGUGAGCCUUUACCUCACCUACUAGCUAAUCCCACCUGGGCUUAUCCAUCAGCGCAAGGCCCGAAGGUCCCCUGCUUUCCCCCGUAGGGCGUAUGCGGUAUUAGCAGUCGUUUCCAACUGUUAUCCCCCACAAAUGGGCAAAUUCCCAGGCAUUACUCACCCGUCCGCCGCUCGUCAUCUUCAAAAGCAAGCUUUUGAAAUGUUACCGCUCGACUUGCAUGUGUUAGGCCUGCCGCCAGCGUUCAAUCUGAGCCAGAAUCAAACCUCUACGA